This 263-nucleotide ribosomal RNA is filed under the name uncultured bacterium. RNAcentral's name for it is "partial 16S ribosomal RNA". It matches the Rfam family "Bacterial small subunit ribosomal RNA", at positions 793 to 1055 of the family's 1533-position model. The record is from RNAcentral.
GUCCACGCUGUAAACGAUGUCAACUAGCCGUUGGGCCUAUAUACAGGUUUAGUGGCGCAGCUAACGCAUUAAGUUGACCGCCUGGGGAGUACGGCCGCAAGGUUAAACUCAAAUGAAUUGACGGGGGCCCGCACAAGCGGUGGAGCAUGUGGUUUAAUUCGAUGCAACGCGAAGAACCUUACCUACCCUUGACAUCCAGAGAAUCUGUUAGAGAUAGUAGAGUGCCUUCGGGAACUCUGAGACAGGUGCUGCAUGGCUGUCGU